UUAGUGGAGACUUAAGCUAUUGAACUGUUCUGUCACUCUUUGACAGAGAACAAUUUGUUCUUUGACAGAGAGGGACAAAACAGUUGAAUAGCUAAAGCGUCCAUUAAC
Molecule: microRNA precursor, 108 nt
Filed under: Plutella xylostella (diamondback moth)
Lineage: Eukaryota; Metazoa; Arthropoda; Insecta; Lepidoptera; Plutellidae
Description: mir-8517 microRNA precursor family
Rfam family: mir-8517 microRNA precursor family
Source: Rfam by way of RNAcentral